RNAcentral lists this long non-coding RNA (704 nucleotides) under Phasianus colchicus (ring-necked pheasant). Its description in RNAcentral is "lncRNA (ENSPCLG00000018948.1)". The record is from RNAcentral. Lineage: Eukaryota; Metazoa; Chordata; Aves; Galliformes; Phasianidae.
AUGGCGGCGAGCAGCGGUAGCGCCGGUUCCACAGGCCCAGCGGGUCCGGUGUCGUUCGGCUUCAGCCGAAAAGCGGAGCGGAGGCGGCUGCUGGCGGCCGGGCCUUGCUCCGAACCGGAGAGCGACGGUGCGGACAUCGAUUACCUCAAGGCGGUAGAAGACCGCGAGUUAUUGAGUGCCAAGCCGGCCCCGCCCCCUCCGAAGGAACUCGUGAUCCCCCUUCGCCCCGCCCACCGCUGGAGGAACCCGGAAGCGCCAAGCUCCGCCCCCUCCUCGCCAGGCCACGCCCCAACCGCAACAAACCACGCCUCCUCGCCAGGCCCCGCCCCCUCUGCAACAAACCACGCCCCCGAUGCCGCAGGCCACGCCCCCGAGGGGGACCCCGUUACCUUGGAAACGGCGGCAGUGCAGGAGCUGCUGCGGGGUGAGGGCUUUUGGGGUGAAUUUGGGGCGAUUUGGGGGCAUUCUGGGGGACGGGGUUUGGGGAGGGGGUCUCAGCCCCGUCGUUUCCCCCACAGAGGCACGGCAGAGCCAGGAGCAGGGCCAGGAGACCCCCAGUGCAGCCCCCAUCCCCAUGAGGAUGAAGGAGGAGAACGUGGGCAGCGGCGCUCUGCCCGUGAGUUGGGGGUCUGGAACCCCCAGCGACCCCCCUAAGACCCCCUAUGACCCCCCUCAGCACUCCCAACCCUCCCCACAGGACCCCC